RNAcentral lists this ribosomal RNA (464 nucleotides) under Campylobacter jejuni. RNAcentral's name for it is "bacterial LSU rRNA". It matches the Rfam family "Bacterial large subunit ribosomal RNA", at positions 1859 to 2322 of the family's 2925-position model. The record is from RNAcentral. Lineage: Bacteria; Pseudomonadati; Campylobacterota; Epsilonproteobacteria; Campylobacterales; Campylobacteraceae.
CUGCCCGGUGCUCGAAGGUUAAUUGAUGGGGUUAGCAUUAGCGAAGCUCUUGAUCGAAGCCCGAGUAAACGGCGGCCGUAACUAUAACGGUCCUAAGGUAGCGAAAUUCCUUGUCGGUUAAAUACCGACCUGCAUGAAUGGCGUAACGAGAUGGGAGCUGUCUCAAAGAGGGAUCCAGUGAAAUUGUAGUGGAGGUGAAAAUUCCUCCUUCCCGCGGCAAGACGGAGAGACCCCGUGGACCUUUACUACAGCUUGACACUGCUAUUUGGAUAAGAAUGUGCAGGAUAGGUGGGAGGCUUUGAGUAUAUGACGCCAGUUGUAUAUGAGCCAUUGUUGAGAUACCACUCUUUCUUAUUUGGGUAGCUAACCAGCUUGAGUUAUCCUCAAGUGGGACAAUGUCUGGUGGGUAGUUUGACUGGGGCGGUCGCCUCCCAAAUAAUAACGGAGGCUUACAAAGGUUGGCU